GACGAACGCUGGCGGCGUGCUUAACACAUGCAAGUCGAACGGAAAGGCCCUGCUUUUGUGGGGUGCUCGAGUGGCGAACGGGUGAGUAACACGUGAGUAACCUGCCCUUGACUUUGGGAUAACUUCAGGAAACUGGGGCUAAUACCGGAUAGGAGCUCCUGCUGCAUGGUGGGGGUUGGAAAGUUUCGGCGGUUGGGGAUGGACUCGCGGCUUAUCAGCUUGUUGGGGGGGUAGUGGCUUACCAAGGCUUUGACGGGUAGCCGGCCUGAGAGGGUGACCGGCCACAUUGGGACUGAGAUACGGCCCAGCCUCCUACGGGAGGCAGCAGUGGGGAAUAUUGCACAAUGGGCGGAAGCCUGAUGCAGCAACGCCGCGUGCGGGAUGACGGCCUUCGGGUUGUAAACCGCUUUCGCAUGUGACGAAGCGUGAGUGACGGUAAUGGGUAAAGAAGCACCGGCUAACUACGUG
Molecule: ribosomal RNA, 468 nt
Filed under: uncultured bacterium
Lineage: Bacteria
Description: partial 16S ribosomal RNA
Rfam family: Bacterial small subunit ribosomal RNA
Source: RNAcentral